Molecule: long non-coding RNA, 1429 nt
Organism: Diceros bicornis minor
Lineage: Eukaryota; Metazoa; Chordata; Mammalia; Perissodactyla; Rhinocerotidae
Exons: 3
Source: RefSeq, a predicted model, not a curated record
GCGCCGUGGCACGCGCCGGCAUCAGUCCCCGGGGUGGUCGUCGUCUCGCGAGAGAGGCUUGGCGGGGAGCGUGCCGAGAACGAGGAGAGGAGAGGGAGGAGUCGCGGCCACCUCCGCCUCCUCGUCCUGUGGGAGGGGGGCCGAGGGAGGGGACUGUUGCUGAUCUCAGGAUGUUCUGGGUAGUCUGAGAAGGAGAGUAUGAGGCGAGCUCCGGCCCGGGCGCGGCCGGGCUUCGGGGGCGAAGGCGGCGCCGUCUAAGCCCCUGCUCCCGCGAGGGCCGGCGCACGGAUGGUGCCGGGGCCACUCGGGUGUUGAUCCGCGUGUCCCCUCCCCCUCCCCCACGCGGUGGUCUGCCGUCCCGCCCCGGCCGGGCAGAGCCAUGUCUCGGCGUGGCUCCUGCCCACACCUGUUGUGGGACGUGAGGAAAAGGUCCCUCGGGCUGGAGGACCCGUCCCGGCUGCGGAACCGCUACCUGGGCAGAAGGAAUUUAUCCAAAGAUUAAAACUUGAAGCAACCCUGAAUGUGCAUGAUGGCUGUGUGAUCCAUGGAUCAUACUUGGGAAAACACUGCUGCAGCUGCUCACUGAAAACAUGAAACUAGAAAGAUCACAUGGAAAGAAAUUACAAAGUCAAAAGAGGGGCUAAGCCCUUACUCUAAGGAACCCAACAUUUAAAACUUAAGCAAAGAGGGAAAAAGUGUCUUUAGUCUUAGCCCCCAAAUGGUUAUCUUUUUCCUGUCCACAAUUAGGGAAUUAUAAUUAUGCUGUAAAUACAGUUUAGGUAUAUAUUACUUAUUUUAAAAGUUAAAAUAAUUUUGGGGGGAAAGGGAUGAAAAUAAUAAACGCACAUGGUUAAAAUGGGUUAUAAUAAAAAGUAAUAGAUGUGUCCCACUCUCCAUUAUUCCUUUCUUAUUCUCCAAAAGCAACCUCUUUUAAUCUUUUUUUGUUUCAGCUCUUCUGGUGAUUUCUUUCAUGUCUCUACAUAAUAUUCUUAUACUGGUCUUUCUUAAUUGUUAACUUUGGACAUUGUCUAUUGAUUUCCUGCUGUAAUAGAGGAGGAUUUAAGUUAUUUUUGCGACUCUCGCUUUCUAAGAUUUAGGCUUCUCAGAAUUUCUGUGUUACUGUUCUCAGCCUCUCCACUGGUCACUUUAACUUUAAACAACAUACGUAAACAUCCUUUUGUUUUUCUGUCUUUUGUAGACGGUAUCCCUUGAGUCCCCAUUCUGUAAGAUAGAGACGUUGAAUGCUUUCACCCUUCGUUCCACCUUCCUCUCUUUCUGGUUCACACCUCUGUCAGGUGUACAUGCUUUUAUGUUGUCAAUGUUGAUUACAUUUACCCUUUAUUCUGUAGCAGUUGUUAUAUUCUGUAAUUGUCUAUGUAUUGUAAAAGUUGAAAUUCAGUAAACAAUGUUAAUAAGUCUUAAAUAUAUU